RNAcentral lists this ribosomal RNA (390 nucleotides) under uncultured bacterium. RNAcentral describes it as "bacterial SSU rRNA". It matches the Rfam family "Bacterial small subunit ribosomal RNA", at positions 28 to 420 of the family's 1533-position model. The record is from RNAcentral.
GACGAACGCUGGCGGCGUGCUUAACACAUGCAAGUCGAGCGGUAAGGCCCUUUCGGGGGUACACGAGCGGCGAACAGGUGAGUAACACGUGGGUGACCUGCCCUUAGCUCUGGGAUAAGCCUGGGAAACUGGGUCUAAUACCGGAUAUGACUCCAUGACGCAUGUUGUGGGGUGGAAAGCCUUGUGCGGCUAGGGAUGGGCCCGCGGCCUAUCAGCUUGUUGGUGGGGUGAGGCCUACCAAGGCGACGACGGGUAGCCGGCCUGAGAGGGCGACCGGCCACACUGGGACUGAGACACGGCCCAGACUCCUACGGGAGGCAGCAGUGGGGAAUCUUGCGCAAUGGGCGAAAGCCUGACGCAGCGACGCCGCGUGAGGGAUGACGGCCUGGU